Molecule: unclassified non-coding RNA, 331 nt
Filed under: soil metagenome
Description: partial contains 5.8S ribosomal RNA, internal transcribed spacer 2, and large subunit ribosomal RNA
Rfam family: 5.8S ribosomal RNA (bases 1-120)
Source: RNAcentral
GAUGAAGAACGUAGCGAAAUGCGAUAAGUAAUGUGAAUUGCAGAAUUCAGUGAAUCAUCGAAUCUUUGAACGCACAUUGCGCCCCCUGGUAUUCCGGGGGGCAUGCCUGUUCGAGCGUCAUUUCACCACUCAAGCCUCGCUUGGUAUUGGGCAACGCGGUCCGCCGCGUGCCUCAGAUCGACCGGCUGGGUCUUCUGUCCCCUAAGCGUUGUGGAAACUAUUCGCUAAAGGGUGUUCGGGAGGCUACGCCGUAAAACAACCCCAUUUCUAAGGUUGACCUCGGAUCAGGUAGGGAUACCCGCUGAACUUAAGCAUAUCAAUAAGCGGAGGA